RNAcentral lists this ribosomal RNA (253 nucleotides) under uncultured bacterium. RNAcentral's name for it is "partial 16S ribosomal RNA". It matches the Rfam family "Bacterial small subunit ribosomal RNA", at positions 524 to 776 of the family's 1533-position model. The record is from RNAcentral.
UACAGAGGGGGCAAGCGUUGUUCGGAAUUACUGGGCGUAAAGGGCGCGUAGGCGGCCUGUUAAGUCGAACGUGAAAUCCCCGGGCUCAACCCGGGAACUGCGUCCGAUACUGGAUGGCUUGAAUUCGGGAGAGGGAUGCAGAAUUCCAGGUGUAGCGGUGAAAUGCGCAGAUAUCAGGAGGAACACCGGUGGCGAAGGCGGAUCUCUGGGCCGAUACUGACGCUGAGGAGCGAAAGCGUGGGGAGCGAACAGG